AGUGAACGCUGGCGGUAGGCCUAACACAUGCAAGUCGAACGGCAGCACAGUAAGAGCUUGCUCUUACGGGUGGCGAGUGGCGGACGGGUGAGGAAUACAUCGGAAUCUACUUUUUCGUGGGGGAUAACGUAGGGAAACUUACGCUAAUACCGCAUACGACCUACGGGUGAAAGCAGGGGAUCUUCGGACCUUGCGCGAUUGAAUGAGCCGAUGUCGGAUUAGCUAGUUGGCGGGGUAAAGGCCCACCAAGGCGACGAUCCGUAGCUGGUCUGAGAGGAUGAUCAGCCACACUGGAACUGAGACACGGUCCAGACUGCUACGGGAGGCAGCAGUGGGGAAUAUUGGACAAUGGGCGCAAGCCUGAUCCAGCCAUACCGCGUGGGAGAAGAAGGCCUUCGGGUUGUAAAGCCCUUUUGUUGGGAAAGAAAAGCAGCAGGUUAAUACCCCGCUGUUCUGACGGUACCCAAAGAAUAAGCACCGGCUAACUUCGUG
This 492-nucleotide ribosomal RNA is filed under the name uncultured bacterium. RNAcentral's name for it is "partial 16S ribosomal RNA". It matches the Rfam family "Bacterial small subunit ribosomal RNA", at positions 29 to 507 of the family's 1533-position model. The record is from RNAcentral.